Molecule: ribosomal RNA, 391 nt
Filed under: uncultured bacterium
Lineage: Bacteria
Description: bacterial SSU rRNA
Rfam family: Bacterial small subunit ribosomal RNA
Source: RNAcentral
AACGAACGCUGGCGGCGUGCCUAACACAUGCAAGUCGUGCGAGAAAGUUCCUUCGGGAGCGAGUAAAGCGGCGCACGGGUGAGUAACACGUAGGUAACCUGCCCCCCAGUCUGGAACAACUAGAGGAAACUCUAGCUAAUGCCGGAUGAGACCACGAUCCCUUCGGGGGUUGCGGCCAAAGAUGGCCUCUACUUGUAAGCUAUCGCUGAGGGAUGGGCCUGCGGGCCAUUAGCUUGUUGGUGAGGUAACGGCUCACCAAGGCUGUGAUGGCUAGCUGGUCUGAGAGGAUGACCAGCCACACUGGGACUGAGACACGGCCCAGACUCCUACGGGAGGCAGCAGUGGGGAAUAUUGCGCAAGUGGCGAAAGCCUGACGCAGCGACGCCGCGGU